Molecule: ribosomal RNA, 381 nt
Filed under: uncultured eukaryote
Lineage: Eukaryota
Description: SSU rRNA
Rfam family: Eukaryotic small subunit ribosomal RNA
Source: RNAcentral
AGCUCCAAUAGCGUAUAUUAAAGUUGUUGCGGUUAAAAAGCUCGUAGUUGGAUUUCUGCUGAGGACGACCGGUCCGCCCUCUGGGUGAGUAUCUGGCUUGGCCUUGGCAUAUUCUUGGAGAACGCAGCUGCACUUGACAGUGUGGUGCGGUAUCCAGGAUUUUGACUUUGAGGAAGUUAGAGUGUUUCAAGCAAGCACACGCCUUGAAUACAUUAGCAUGGAAUAAUAAGAUAGGACCUUGGUUCUAUUUUGUUGGUUUCUAGAGCUGAGGUAAUGAUUAAUAUGGAUAGUUGGGGGAAUUCGUAUUUAACAGUCAGAGGUGAAAUUCUUGUAUUUGUUAAAGACGGACUACUGCGAAAGCAUUUGCCAAGGAUGUUUUCA